RNAcentral lists this ribosomal RNA (722 nucleotides) under uncultured Fusobacterium sp. RNAcentral's name for it is "bacterial SSU rRNA". It matches the Rfam family "Bacterial small subunit ribosomal RNA", at positions 28 to 776 of the family's 1533-position model. The record is from RNAcentral. Lineage: Bacteria; Fusobacteriati; Fusobacteriota; Fusobacteriia; Fusobacteriales; Fusobacteriaceae.
GAUGAACGCUGACAGAAUGCUUAACACAUGCAAGUCAACUUGAACUUCGGUUUGGGUGGCGGACGGGUGAGUAACGCGUAAAGAACUUGCCUCACAGAUAGGGACAACAUUUGGAAACGAAUGCUAAUACCUGAUAUUAUGAUUUUGGGGCAUCCUAGGAUUAUGAAAGCUAUAUGCGCUGUGAGAGAGCUUUGCGUCCCAUUAGCUAGCUGGAGAGGUAACGGCUCACCAAGGCGAUGAUGGGUAGCCGGCCUGAGAGGGUGAUCGGCCACAAGGGGACUGAGACACGGCCCUUACUCCUACGGGAGGCAGCAGUGGGGAAUAUUGGACAAUGGACCAAGAGUCUGAUCCAGCAAUUCUGUGUGCACGAUGAAGUUUUUCGGAAUGUAAAGUGCUUUCAGUUGGGAAGAAAAAAAUGACGGUACCAACAGAAGAAGUGACGGCUAAAUACGUGCCAGCAGCCGCGGUAAUACGUAUGUCACAAGCGUUAUCCGGAUUUAUUGGGCGUAAAGCGCGUCUAGGUGGUUAUAUAAGUCUGAUGUGAAAAUGCAGGGCUCAACUCUGUAUUGCGUUGGAAACUGUGUAACUAGAGUACUGGAGAGGUAAGCGGAACUACAAGUGUAGAGGUGAAAUUCGUAGAUAUUUGUAGGAAUGCCGAUGGGGAAGCCAGCUUACUGGACAGAUACUGACGCUGAAGCGCGAAAGCGUGGGUAGCAAACAGG